This 164-nucleotide ribosomal RNA is filed under the name Styrax agrestis. RNAcentral describes it as "5.8S ribosomal RNA". It matches the Rfam family "5.8S ribosomal RNA". From Rfam's summary of the family: 5.8S ribosomal RNA (5.8S rRNA) is a component of the large subunit of the eukaryotic ribosome. The record is from RNAcentral. Lineage: Eukaryota; Viridiplantae; Streptophyta; Magnoliopsida; Ericales; Styracaceae.
UAAAUGACUCUCGGCAACGGAUAUCUCGGCUCUCGCAUCGAUGAAGAACGUAGCGAAAUGCGAUACUUGGUGUGAAUUGCAGAAUCCCGUGAACCAUCGAGUUUUUGAACGCAAGUUGCGCCCGAAACCAUUAGGUCGAGGGCACGCCUGCCUGGGCGUCUCAC